This is an unclassified non-coding RNA of Cavia aperea (Brazilian guinea pig), 81 nucleotides long. NCBI's taxonomy places the organism in Eukaryota, Metazoa, Chordata, Mammalia, Rodentia, Caviidae. The record is from Ensembl.
AUCACGUUCUGACACAUGCCAGGAUUCAUGGAAGGAAGUUAGGUUGCUUCCCAGGAUUGGCUGUCUCCUAAAAGUCAAAAC